GACGAACGCUGGCGGCGUGCUUAACACAUGCAAGUCGAACGGAAAGGCCCUGCUUUUGUGGGGUGCUCGAGUGGCGAACGGGUGAGUAACACGUGAGUAAACUGCCCUUGACUUUGGGAUAACUUCAGGAAACUUGGGCUCAUACCGGAUAGGAGCUCCUGCUGCAUGGUGGGGGUUGGAAAGUUUCGGCGGUUGGGGAUGGACUCGCGGCUUAUCGGCUUGUUGGUGGGGUAGUGGCUUACCACGGCUUUGACGGGUAGCCGGCCUGAGCGGGUGACCGGCCACAGUGGGACUGAGGUACGGCACAGACUCCUACGGGAGGCAGUGGUGGGGAAUAUUGCACAAUGGGCGGAAGCCUGAUGCAGAAACGCUGCGUGCGGGAUGACGGCCUUCUGGGUGUAAACCGCUUUCGCCUGAGACGGAGCGUGAGUGACGGUAAUGGGUAAAGAAGCACCGGCUAACUACGUG
This 468-nucleotide ribosomal RNA is filed under the name uncultured bacterium. Its description in RNAcentral is "partial 16S ribosomal RNA". It matches the Rfam family "Bacterial small subunit ribosomal RNA", at positions 28 to 507 of the family's 1533-position model. The record is from RNAcentral.